UCCGACCAGAAUCCUGCAGCCAUGUCGCUCACCAUCCCCACCAAUCUCUCCAAGCCCAUCGCCGCCCCGAAGCUCAGCCCCUCCAAGUCAGUCAGGCCGGCCGCCACCCUCAUAAGAUGCUCCUCUUCCUCCCCUGAGCAGGGCUCCGCCUCCACCUCGGCGGCGUCGCCUCUCCAGGCCUUCUCCGCCGCGCUCGCCCUCUCCUCCAUCCUCCUCUCGGCGCCGCAGCCCGCGGCCGCCGACAUCGCGGGGCUGACCCCGUGCAAGGAGUCGAAGCAGUUCGCGAAGCGGGAGAAGCAGCAGCUCAAGAAGCUGGAGUCGUCGCUGAAGCUGUACGCCCCCGACAGCGCCCCGGCCCUGGCCCUCAAGGCCACCAUGGAGAAGACGAAGCGGCGGUUCGACAACUACGGCAAGCAGGGGCUGCUGUGCGGCACCGACGGGCUCCCCCACCUGAUCGUGAGCGGGGACCAGCGGCACUGGGGCGAGUUCAUCACCCCGGGCAUCCUCUUCCUCUACAUCGCCGGGUGGAUCGGGUGGGUCGGCCGGAGCUACCUCAUCGCCAUCCGCGACGAGAAGAAGCCCACCCAGAAGGAGAUCAUCAUCGACGUCCCCCUCGCCUCCCGCCUCGUCUUCCGUGGCUUCAGCUGGCCCAUCGCCGCUUACAGAGAGCUCGUCAACGGCGAGCUCAUCGCCAAGGACGUC
This 702-nucleotide long non-coding RNA is filed under the name Eucalyptus grandis. RNAcentral describes it as "long non-coding RNA (EGRA_LNC006241)". The record is from RNAcentral. Lineage: Eukaryota; Viridiplantae; Streptophyta; Magnoliopsida; Myrtales; Myrtaceae.